GCCGUCGUGGCUCAAUGGUAGAGCGUCGCUUUCCUAUUUCGAUUACGUAAGCAUUCGGAGAUUACGGAAGAGGCGAAGGUUGCGGGUUCGAGUCCCGUCGUCGGUA
Non-coding RNA from Cristinia sonorae, 106 nucleotides. The record is from the annotation of a GenBank genome assembly. NCBI's taxonomy places the organism in Eukaryota, Fungi, Basidiomycota, Agaricomycetes, Agaricales, Stephanosporaceae.